This 253-nucleotide ribosomal RNA is filed under the name uncultured bacterium. RNAcentral describes it as "partial 16S ribosomal RNA". It matches the Rfam family "Bacterial small subunit ribosomal RNA", at positions 524 to 776 of the family's 1533-position model. The record is from RNAcentral.
UACGUAGGGUGCGAGCGUUGUUCGGAAUUAUUGGGCGUAAAGAGCUCGUAGGCGGUUUGUUGCGUCGGCCGUGAAAACCUGCAGCUUAACUGUGGGCCUGCGGCCGAUACGGGCAGACUUGAGUUCGGUAGGGGAGACUGGAAUUCCUGGUGUAGCGGUGAAAUGCGCAGAUAUCAGGAGGAACACCGGUGGCGAAGGCGGGUCUCUGGGCCGAUACUGACGCUGAGGAGCGAAAGCCAGGGGAGCAAACGGG